AGUGAACGCUGGCGGUAGGCCUAACACAUGCAAGUCGAACGGCAGCACAGUAAGUGCUUGCUUUUACGGGUGGCGAGUGGCGAAUGGGGGAGGAAUACUUCGGAAUCUACUUUUUCGUGGGGUAUAACGUAGGGAAACUUACGCUAAUACCGCAUACGACCUACGGGUGAAAGCAGGAGAUCGUAGGACAUUGCGCGAAUGAAUGAGCCGAUGUCGGAUUAGCUAGUUGGCGGGGUAAAGGCCCACCAAGGCGACGAUCCGUAGCUGGUCUGAGAGGAUGGUCGGGCAGACGUGAACUGAGGCACGGUGCCGACUCCUACGGUGGGCAGCAGUCGGAAAUAUUGCGCAAUGGACGCAAGCCUGAUCCUGCCAAACCGCGUGGGUGAAGAAGGACUUCGGCUUGUAAAGCCAUUAUGUUGUGAAAGUAGUGCAGCAGGUUAAUACCCCACUAUUAUGACGGUACCCAAAGAAAAAGCACCGGCUAACUUCGUG
Molecule: ribosomal RNA, 492 nt
Filed under: uncultured bacterium
Lineage: Bacteria
Description: partial 16S ribosomal RNA
Rfam family: Bacterial small subunit ribosomal RNA
Source: RNAcentral